GACGAACGCUGGCGGCGUGCUUAACACAUGCAAGUCGAACGGAAAGGCCUGCUUUCCCUUGUGGAUUGCGGGUACUCGAGUGGCGAACGGGUGAGUAACACGUGAGUGAUCUGCCCCCAACUUGGGUAUAAGCCUGGGAAACUGGGUCUAAUUCCCGAUAGGACUGCAGGGUGGUGCCUGUGGUGGAAAACGAUUUUCUAGUGGUUGGGGAUGAGCUCGCGGCCUAUCAGCUUGUUGGUGGGGUAAUGGCCUACCAAGGCGGCGACGGGUAGCCGGCCUGAGAGGGUGGACGGCCACAUUGGGACUGAGAUACGGCCCAGACUCCUACGGGAGGCAGCAGUGGGGAAUAUUGCACAAUGAGCGGAAGCCUGAUGCAGCGACGCCGCGUGGGGGAUGACGGCCUUCGGGUUGUAAACUCCUUUCGACCGCGAGGAAGCCACCUGGUUGGAAGGGUGGUGACGGUAGUGGUAGAAGAAGCACCGGCUAACUACGUG
Molecule: ribosomal RNA, 494 nt
Filed under: uncultured bacterium
Lineage: Bacteria
Description: partial 16S ribosomal RNA
Rfam family: Bacterial small subunit ribosomal RNA
Source: RNAcentral